Molecule: ribosomal RNA, 841 nt
Filed under: uncultured soil bacterium
Lineage: Bacteria
Description: SSU rRNA
Rfam family: Bacterial small subunit ribosomal RNA
Source: RNAcentral
UAGAGUUUGAUCCUGGCUCCAACGAACGCUGGCGGCGUGCCUAAUACCUGCAAGUCGAACGAGAAAGUGUAGCAAUACAUUAGUAAAGUGGCCGACGGGUGAGUAAUACAUAGGUAACCUACCUCUAAAUUGGGGAUAACCUUCCGAAAGGAGGGCUAUUACCGAAUGAGACCACAGAGACAUAUGUCUAAGGGGUUAAAGACGGCCUCUACUUGUAAGCUGUCGUUUAGAGAUGGGCUUAUGCACCAUUAGCCUGUUGGUAAGGUAACGGCUUACCAAAGCUACAAUGGUUAGCUGAUCUGAGAGGUUGAUCAGCCACACUGGAACUGAGACACGGUCCACACUCCUACGGGAGGCAGCAGUAGGGAAUAUUGCGCAAUGGAGGAAACUCUGACGCAGCGACGCCACGUGGGUGACGAAGGCCUUCGGGUCGUAAGGCCCCGUCGGAUGGGAAGAAACACGGCAUGGCUAAUAUCCAUACCGCUUGACGGUACCAUUAAAGGAAGCACCGGCUAACUACGUGCCAUCAGCCGCGGUAAUACGUAGGGUGCGAGCGUUGUUCGGAAUCAUUGGGCGUAAAGCGAGAGUAGGUGGGUUGCUCAGUCGGGUGUGAAAUCCCUGGGCUCGACCCAGGAAGUGCAUUCGAAACUAGCUGGCUAGAAGAUGGUAGAGGAACGUGGAUUACAAGCGUAGCGGUGAAUUCCUUCAUAUUUGGAGGAUACCAGCAGGGAUGGCAGCCUGCUGGACCACUCUGACUCUGAGACUCGAAAGCAUGAGUAGCAACAGGAUAGAUACCCUGCUAGUCUACGUCGUAAACGAUGGGAACUAGGCGCUGCAGUAU